Anthonomus grandis grandis is the source of this 831-nucleotide long non-coding RNA. RefSeq lists it as uncharacterized. Lineage: Eukaryota; Metazoa; Arthropoda; Insecta; Coleoptera; Curculionidae. The transcript has 3 exons. The record is from RefSeq and is a predicted model, not a curated record.
UUAACGGUAUUGAAAUAUGGAAAAAUUACUGAUACUUCGCUCGAAAGGUAUGGUACGACCUUACUGCAACGAAUGUGAAUCCUUGGAAUGUGAAGACCUGGAACCUUUUUAUACCUAUCGCAGGAAUUUGGAUACCGACGACUCACGAACAUCCUCGGAACCAAUCGUUGAAUAAAAAUGCAAUUGGGAAAACUUAAUGAAAAUAGAGUUUUUUCUCAUGAAAACUAUCUCAAAACCGGGUAUGUCAAGGUGAAAACAGCGGGACAAAAGCUGGCCACAUGUGUACAAGAAAACCGGCUUUUUUGGAAAACCGCGCGAAACUGAAACAUGAUUUAUAUUAUAUUUUGCCACACCGGGCCUGCCCCUUCAUUUAACAGGGCUUCCCAAGUUUUAGGCAUUUGUGGUUCUUUAUUAUCCUAAGAAUAACCAGGGCUGAAAACAAUAAGGCCAGAGACUACAACAUAGUCAACGGAGAACUAGGCAUAACCUAUAAGAAAUCAAACCUUUCCAGGAUACUAUCAGACUAGAAACCCCUUUAAGUUGGUUUCUUUGUGAAUGCUUACUAUUAUAAACUCCUCAUUACUCACAGGUAAUGCUUAAAAUGUAUCUUUUUGUUAUGUAAAUUAUAUUUUUAGAGGUUAAAAUGUUAACGGAGCAAAAUUAUUUAACUUGUCUUAUAAAAGACUGCCUGGGAUUACCCUUAUUACUAUAAAAUAAAUACAAAAUCUUGUAACUUCGUUACACCAUAGUUAGUGCCUUAAUAAAUUUUUCUAUAUUAAUGUAAGAUGUUUGCUAGGUAAUAGUGGAAACCAGAGUAAAAUCGGAUCGAUU